This 199-nucleotide microRNA precursor is filed under the name Oryza glumipatula. RNAcentral describes it as "MIR1435 microRNA precursor family". It matches the Rfam family "MIR1435 microRNA precursor family". Lineage: Eukaryota; Viridiplantae; Streptophyta; Magnoliopsida; Poales; Poaceae. The record is from Rfam by way of RNAcentral.
UGACUUUGGUCAAAGUCAAACUGCUUCAAGUUUGACUAAGUUUGUAGAGAAAAUAAUAAUAUUUUCAACUCAAGACAAAUUUAUUAUGAAAACAUAUUCAAUUAUUGAUUUAAUGAAACUAAUUUGAUAUUAUAAAUAUAACUAUAUUUGUCUAUAAACUUAGUUAAACUAGAAGCAGUUUGACUUUGACCAAAGUCAA